GUCGAACGAAGUAGCAAUACUUAGUGGCAGACGGGUGAGUAACAUGUAGGUAUCUGCCCUUUGGCCUGGAAUAACACGAGGAAACUUGUGCUAAUACCGGAUAAGUCUUUACGGAGAAAGCUUUAUGCACCAUUGGAUGAGCCUGCACUUGAUUAGUUUGUUGGUGGGGUAAUGGCCUACCAAGACUGUGAUCAAUAGCUGAUUUGAGAGGAUGAUCAGCCACAUUGGGACUGAGACACGGCCCAAACUCCUACGGGAGGCAGCAGUGGGGAAUCUUGCACAAUGGAGGAAACUCUGAUGCAGCGAUGCCGCGUGAGUGAAGAAGGCCUUUGGGUUGUAAAGCUCUUUCGUCGGGGAAGAAAAUGACUGUACCCGAAUAAGAAGGUCCGGCUAACUUCGUGCCAGCAGCCGCGGUAAUACGAAGGGACCUAGCGUAGUUCGGAAUUACUGGGCUUAAAGAGUUCGUAGGUGGUUGAAAAAGUUGGUGGUGAAAUCCCAGAGCUUAACUCUGGAAUUGCCAUCAGAACUUUUCAGCUAGAGUAUGAUAGAGGAAAGCAGAAUUUCUAGUGUAGAGGUGAAAUUCGUAGAUAUUAGAAAGAAUACCAAUUGCGAAGGCAGCUUUCUGGAUCAUUACUG
This 636-nucleotide ribosomal RNA is filed under the name uncultured marine bacterium. RNAcentral's name for it is "bacterial SSU rRNA". It matches the Rfam family "Bacterial small subunit ribosomal RNA", at positions 61 to 742 of the family's 1533-position model. The record is from RNAcentral.